CUAGCAGCAAUCGUGAAGAUCUCCAGCGAGAGGGCAGUCGGCCAGGCUUGGUCACCCAGGGAGCAUCUACUCAAUGUGGGACACACACGCAUUCGUGAAAGUUAUCUUGAUUGCACGAGCUGCCACCAGCCUGCUUGAGCUCUAACUACAACUGGAGCAGAGGACAGGUUUCCAUCGACGUGCUCGAUGCACAAGCAUCAUCAUUCUCCCGAGUGACCAGCAGAUGUCACUAUUAUCUCUGUGUUAAAUCUCACUGGACUGCCGCUGCUGACAUGUCUGGCUCACACUGAUAGCAUUUGUCAAAUUUGUUUCAUAUCAUUACACUUUUGUAUUCAACACACCCCCUUGAAGUGAACUAUUGUCAAAAUGAUAAAUCUUUUUAAUGAGUUCAAAGCAGCCGAUGAUUUUGGCAAGUCUGAAAACAACCCUAAUGAAGUCAUAAGGAAUUUGUUGAAGGUCUAAACGUGAUAAAUGUGAUAAAUAUGUGACUUCUGGCUUGUUUUUGAAUUUUUCUUCUCAAACUGCCUUAACUAUACUGGCAUACGGAUGUAUUGUCCUGGACUAAGAUUAUGCAAAUGGGCGACAAGUAAUCAAAGUUCAAACUGAAUUGUUUAAGAGUUCAUUGAACUGGAACAAAUAAAUGUGGAGGAAAUUACUUCAGUUCGUCAUCGCUGUGGCAAAUUAGGCAAGGACCGGAUAAAUGGAUUAGCAGAAAUGUGUGUGCUCAUCGGGUAUGUGUUGGAGGAAUAAUACAUGUAUGUGAAUGUGUCAUGCAGUUGUGCGUGUGCCCUUUUUGUGUGCUUGCUUUAUUUCAUCCAUACAAAAAUUACUCCAAUGUGUGUUUUUGUCUCCGCAUUGGAGGCAAAAUGUUGCAUCCAUCUUUUUAAUUCCAUACAUCCUACUCCUCCCUGUGUUGUCAUGGUGAUGUGUCCCUUCCCAACCUGCUAUGCAAGCAUUGUUCCUCAUUUUGCAGUCUGACACACAUACAGCAGAGCUACCAUGGACACACACCUCACUUCAAACUCAUUGAUGAUGUAGGCACGCGGUGCAGUGAACCAAAAUUCAAAACGGAAUUAUCUUCAAUUCAUUGCGACAAGAUUUUAUUUCCCUUUCAUUAGGGGCCGAGCACCGACAUGGUCGGAGGAGAGGAC
Molecule: long non-coding RNA, 1151 nt
Organism: Gasterosteus aculeatus aculeatus (three-spined stickleback)
Lineage: Eukaryota; Metazoa; Chordata; Actinopteri; Perciformes; Gasterosteidae
Source: Ensembl